UGGGGAAUUUUGGACAAUGGGCGCAAGCCUGAUCCAGCAAUGCCGCGUGCAGGAUGAAGGCCUUCGGGUUGUAAACUGCUUUUGUACGGAGCGAAAAGGUCUGCCCUAACACGGUGGGCUCAUGACGGUACCGUAAGAAUAAGCACCGGCUAACUACGUGCCAGCAGCCGCGGUAAUACGUAGGGUGCGAGCGUUAAUCGGAAUUACUGGGCGUAAAGCGUGCGCAGGCGGUUAUAUAAGACAGAUGUGAAAUCCCCGGGCUCAACCUGGGACCUGCAUUUGUGACUGUAUAGCUAGGGUACGGUAGAGGGGGAUGGAAUUCCACGUGUAGCAGUGAAAUGCGUAGAUAUGCGGAGGAACACCGAUGGCGAAGGCAAUCCCCUGGACCUGUACUGACGCUCAUGCACGAAAGCGUGGGGAGCAAACA
Molecule: ribosomal RNA, 427 nt
Filed under: uncultured bacterium
Lineage: Bacteria
Description: bacterial SSU rRNA
Rfam family: Bacterial small subunit ribosomal RNA
Source: RNAcentral